GAUGAACGCUGGCGGCGUGCCUAAUACAUGCAAGUCGAGCGAACAGAUGAGGAGCUUGCUCCUCUGACGUUAGCGGCGGACGGGUGAGUAACACGUGGAUAACCUACCUAUAAGACUGGGAUAACUUCGGGAAACCGGAGCUAAUACCGGAUAAUAUAUUGAACCGCAUGGUUCAAUAGUGAAAGACGGUUUUGCUGUCACUUAUAGAUGGAUCCGCGCCGCAUUAGCUAGUUGGUAAGGUAACGGCUUACCAAGGCAACGAUGCGUAGCCGAUCUGAGAGGGUGAUCGGCCACACUGGAACUGAGACACGGUCCAGACUCCUACGGGAGGCAGCAGUAGGGAAUCUUCCGCAAUGGGCGAAAGCCUGACGGAGCAACGCCGCGUGAGUGAUGAAGGUCUUCGGAUCGUAAAACUCUGUUAUUAGGGAAGAACAAAUGCGUAAGUAACUAUGCACGUCUUGACGGUACCUAAUCAGAAAGCCACGGCUAACUACGUG
Molecule: ribosomal RNA, 497 nt
Filed under: uncultured bacterium
Lineage: Bacteria
Description: partial 16S ribosomal RNA
Rfam family: Bacterial small subunit ribosomal RNA
Source: RNAcentral